This 69-nucleotide transfer RNA is filed under the name Polaribacter sp. RNAcentral describes it as "tRNA-Met". It matches the Rfam family "tRNA". Rfam says of the family: Transfer RNA (tRNA) molecules are approximately 80 nucleotides in length. Their secondary structure includes four short double-helical elements and three loops (D, anti-codon, and T loops). The record is from RNAcentral. Lineage: Bacteria; Pseudomonadati; Bacteroidota; Flavobacteriia; Flavobacteriales; Flavobacteriaceae.
AGAAUUUAAAUUGGUUAGAGCAUCUGACUCAUAAUCAGAGGGUCCUUGGUUCGAGCCCAAGUGGGACCA